Molecule: ribosomal RNA, 249 nt
Filed under: uncultured Gloeobacter sp.
Lineage: Bacteria; Bacillati; Cyanobacteriota; Cyanophyceae; Gloeobacterales; Gloeobacteraceae
Description: partial 16S ribosomal RNA
Rfam family: Bacterial small subunit ribosomal RNA
Source: RNAcentral
UGGGGAAUUUUCCGCAAUGGGCGCAAGCCUGACGGAGCAAUACCGCGUGAGGGAGGAAGGCUCUUGGGUUGUAAACCUCUUUUCUGGGGGACGAAGAUUGACGGUACCCCAGGAAUAAGCAUCGGCUAACUCCGUGCCAGCAGCCGCGGUAAGACGGAGGAUGCAAGCGUUAUCCGGAAUUAUUGGGCGUAAAGCGUACGUAGGCGGCUUAUCAAGUCUGGGGUUAAAGACCACAGCUUAACUGUGGGA